This is a non-coding RNA of Pelobates cultripes (western spadefoot toad), 136 nucleotides long. NCBI's taxonomy places the organism in Eukaryota, Metazoa, Chordata, Amphibia, Anura, Pelobatidae. The record is from the annotation of a GenBank genome assembly.
AUUGCCCCCACAGGCGUUGCAGGCUGGCAUGAUGUGCCAUGCUUGUGUCAUUGGGUGGCAGAGAUUAACCUGGCUGUGUCUACGCUCGGUGCCCUUCUCCCAGUGGGCAUUUACAGAUGAUUAGCAGCCAGACAGG